This 471-nucleotide long non-coding RNA is filed under the name Homo sapiens (human). RNAcentral's name for it is "non-protein coding lnc-ZNF91-4:15". The record is from RNAcentral. Lineage: Eukaryota; Metazoa; Chordata; Mammalia; Primates; Hominidae.
CUUGGGUGCUGGGAAGAGGCACAUGUCACACGUGCAAGAAGGUCCAAGGAUGAGAUUAAAAAUUCCACAAAGGUCCAAAUUCUAGGGCCCAGACAGAAGAGAAGAGUCACAUCAUCUAGAUGAUGAAUGAAAAGAUAUGUCAUUAUUCUCCUUUGGGCAGUGCUUCUGCAGAAAAGUUGCACCUUCUAGGUGUUGGACUCAGCAAUAUAUCACAAUGUCUGCAGUAUUUUGGAAGGAGAGGAGAGUCACCAUUACUUAGGUAUGGCCCAGGCAGGAGAGAAGGGUCAUAUCACCUAAGCUCUGGAUUCGCAGAUAGGCCCCAAUCUCUUUUUUGGGCAAUGCUCGGUCUAUCUUCAAUUUACAGACCUUGGCUUUUCUACCCCAAUUCAAGAAGUCACUUCUUCAGUCAACCAAACCAAUUACAAAAUUGUGUUCCAAUGUCACAUGUUCAAAAAUAAACAGUUCCUGAAA